AGUAGUUUGUACUCUGGCUCAGGAUGAACGCUGGCGGCGUGCUUAACACAUGCAAGUCGAACGAAGCAGGAGGGUGCUUGCACCUUCCUGACUGAGUGGCGGACGGGUGAGUAACACGUGGAUAAUCUGCCCUGCACAGGGGGACAACAGCUAGAAAUGGCUGCUAAUACCGCAUAAGCCUACAGCCUCGCAUGAGGGAGUAGGAAAAGAAAUUCGGUGCAGGAUGAGUCCGCGUCUGAUUAGCUAGUUGGAGGGGUAAGAGCCCACCAAGGCAACGAUCAGUAGCCGGCCUGAGAGGGCGACCGGCCACAUUGGGACUGAGACACGGCCCAAACUCCUACGGGAGGCAGCAGUGGGGAAUAUUGCACAAUGGGGGGAAACCCUGAUGCAGCGACGCCGCGUGAGCGAGGAAGUAUUUCGGUAUGUAAAGCUCUAUCAGCAGGGACGAAAAAAAGACGGUACCUGACUAAGAAGCCCCGGCUAACUACGUG
Molecule: ribosomal RNA, 491 nt
Filed under: uncultured Lachnospiraceae bacterium
Lineage: Bacteria; Bacillati; Bacillota; Clostridia; Lachnospirales; Lachnospiraceae
Description: bacterial SSU rRNA
Rfam family: Bacterial small subunit ribosomal RNA
Source: RNAcentral